CGUCGGAAUUCCGUCGGAAAUAUCCGACGGAAUUCCGAGGAAAUAUGAAUUUCCGAGGAGAUAUUUCCGACGACUUGUUUCGUCGGUAUGUCCUCGGAAUAGCGUUAUUCCGACGACAUACCGACGAUUUUGUCCCUCAGUAUGCGGAUGUUUUCUUGUAGUGCAAUAGUGUUCGUAGAAACCAGUAAGCCUACUUUCACUUCAAAAACCGUAUAGCUGGAAUAAUAUUAUUAUCUACACUAUAAAUCUUAUUUCUACUUAUUUAAUAAAAUAUAAAAUAAUCUUAUUAUCUAAAUUAACAAAUAAAUAUGACAAAAUAUGACAAAAUUAUAUAAAAUUAUGGAAGACGUGACAAGUAAACAGAAUCAUUUAUCAAAUAAUAAUAUAGAUUUGCUGGAAAUUUAGAAUUUUUGAUAUCAUACUCUAGUAAGUAAUAAAUUUUAUUCUACAUGAAUUAUUUUUGUUAAAUUAUUACAAAUUAAACUUACCUUAUAUAUAAUAAGGAAAAGUAAAUUGUAAGAUGUACACUAGUAAAAAAAACUCAAAUAGCAACGAAGUUGCUACGGUACAAUCGUAGCUAGAAAUAGAAAAGCUACGGAUUUGCUACGUUUUAGCUACGAAAACAUAAACGUAGCAAAUCGUAACAAAAUCGUAGCUAAUUUGCUACGAAUGUGCUACGUAAAAAAAUCGUAGCUAGUGGUUGAUACGAUUUUGCUACGAAAAGUAACGUAGCAAUUUACUACGUUUCAUUAACGUGUCAUUUCGUGUGUAACCUAGCUACGAAUUGUUUCGAUUCUAUCGUAGGUUUAGUUUUAAUUUAUUUUAAAAAAGAAAACGUAGCUACGGUUACCAAAAUCGUAGCAAAUUCGUAGCAACCCACCGAAAGAAACGUCCCAUCAUCCAUCGUGCGCAAGUGUCGGGAGAAAAAUACAAAACGUAAUAAGCCACGAGCAAUUUUCGUAGCAAAGAUCGUGGUUUUUUUCUGAAUGCAACGUCCCCUCGGUCCGACAAUGUGCAGGCAAAAUAAUUCAAGAUAUUUUGAGCAAGCUACGAAAAAUGUUCGUAGCAUUUUUCGUAGCAUUUUUCGUAGCAUUUCGUGGCAGAUUUCGUAGCAAGGUGUUUUAUAUAAAAACAACCAAGCACUCCACUCUCAUAACAACGAGUGAGAUAUCAAACAUAAAACGCUUUCUUUCAAAUGUGUUGGUUUUGAAAUCGUGAGUACAAUGUCUGAUUAUUUUUAUUCGAGAGAGUGGAUGGAUCGACACUUUGAUCCGAUCAAUAAUUUUGUUUCUCGUGAGUUUAAGGAAGGUGUUGAUGUUUUUAUCGCAUUUGCUUCCAAUCAAACUUCUUUUAUUGAGGGGAAAACCAUGUUAUGUCCUUGUGCAAGAUGUCAAAACCGAAAACAACGGGACUCGAGAACCGUAUCUCGCCAUCUUUACCGAGUCGGGUUCAAAAGUAAUUAUUAUUUAUGGUCAAGCCAUGGAGAAAAUUACUAUGACGUUGGCGAAUCAUCCACGGGAGGUCAAUUUAUGGGAGAAGGCACACUGCAUACGGAAGAAGAACCAUACCAGGAAAACUAUCCGAAUGUUAUGGAAGGAGUAUUGGAGGAUGUGAUGGAAGCACCCAAUGAAGAGCAAUAUGGAGAUGGCGUGUUUCAAGCCUUCGAAGCCGCUAAUGAACCAUUAUACGAAGGAUGUGUAGAAGGUAUUUCUCAGUUAUACUUGGCGUCACGUUUAAUGAAAGUAAAAACCGAUCAUAAUUUACCGGAGUCGUGUUUGGAUGAGAUAUCACAAACGUUUAGAGAUGUUCUGCCACAACCAAACAAAGCUCCUGAAUCAUAUUAUGAGAUGAAGAAGUUGACAAAGGCGCUUGGUCUUCCUGUUCUGAAGAUUGAUGUUUGUGAAGAUAACUGCAUGUUAUUUUGGAAGGAAGAUAAAGAUUUGGUGGUGUGUCGAUUUUGCGGAAAAGAUAGAUAUCACCAGAACCAUGGAAAGGGGAAAAAGCGGCCCAAACAAAGAAUGUUUUACAUGCCUAUUACGGAGAGGUUGAAGCGAUUGUACCAACUUGAAGAAACUGCAGCACAAAUGCGAUGGCACGGAGAACAUGAGUCGCCCGAAGGAGAAAUGCAUCACCCUUCUGAUGGAGCAGCUUGGAAGCAUUUUAACAAGGUAUAUCCUGAUUUCACUGAAGAAAGUCGGAAUAUAUAUCUAGGCUUAGCAACAGAUGGAUUUAACCCAGUUGGUAUGAGUGGUGAAGCACACUCGGUCUGGCCAGUAAUUGUUACUCCGUAUAACUUACCUCCUGGGAUGUGUAUGAAAAGAGAAUAUUUCUUUUUAUCCGUCCUAGUUCCCGGGCUAAGACAUCCAAAGAAGAGCAUUGAUAUAUAUCUGCAGCCGCUAAUUGAAGAAUUGCAAAGUUUAUGGAGUCACGGGGCAGAAACAUACGAUAUCUCGAGAAAGGAAACAUUCACGAUGCGAGCCGCAUUAAUGUGGACAAUUAAUGACUUUCCUGCUUAUGGCAUGAUGUCAGGUUGGAUGACUCAUGGUCGUUUAGCUUGUCCAUAUUGUCUCGAUGAUACAAAGUCAUUUUGGUUGAAACACGGAAGGAAGCAUAGCUGGUUUGAUUGUCAUCGAAUGUUUCUACCUAAAGAGCAUCCUUACAGGAGAAAUGUCCAAGCGUUUCGAAGGGGGAAGACAAUAAGUGAUGAUCCUCCACCAUGGUUGACGGGAGAAGAAAUUCGCUAUGAAAGAAUCAACAACAUCGUUGGGCUGAAGAAAACGGUUGAAUGUGGAGGUAACGGACACGAGAAACCUGGAAGUAACAUAGAAGGCUACAGAAAAGAUCACAAUUGGGUGAAGAAGAGUAUCUUUUGGGAAUUACCGUAUUGGGAAAACCUUCUUCUUCGCCACAACGUUGACUUCAUGCACGUUGAGAAGAAUUUCUUUGAUAAUCUUAUCAACACGGUGCUUAAUGUUCCUGGGAAGACUAAAGAUAAUGCAAAGUCGAGGAUGGAUCUACCUGAUUUGUGCAGAAGGCAAGAGUUACAUAUCAAAGAUGAUGGAAAGAUGUCGGUCCCGAUAUUUCGGUUGUCAAAGGAAGAAAAAAAAGAAUUCUUGCGAUGGUUGAAGGAAGAUAUAAAAUUUCCAGAUGGGUAUGCUUCAAAGUUUAGUAGAUGUAUAGAUGAGACGAAUUCGAAGCUUUCAGGCCUAAAAAGUCAUGAUUGCCAUGUCAUCAUGCAACGAUUUCUCCCAUUUGCGUUUAAGGAGUUACUUCCAAAAAAUGUCCACAUCGCAAUUUCAGGUUAGUUUUUUUUUUUUAAAUAUUAUAAGUUUUACUAUUAUUGCCUGCACUAACUCAAAAUAUUUUGUGUAGAAAUCGCACUAUUCUUUCGGGAUAUCUCUGCAAAAGUACUAAAAGAAGAAGAUGUCGCCAUUUUAAAAGAAAACAUUGCAGUGAAGCUUUGUAAUUUGGAAAAGAUUUUCCCACCUUCGUUUUUUGAUGUUAUGGAGCAUCUCGUUAUGCAUUUGCCAGAUGAAGCUGCUCUAGGUGGUCCAGUGCAAUAUAGAUGGAUGUAUCCUUUCGAGAGAUACAUGUACCAUCUGAAGAAAAAGGUUAGAAAUAAGGCACAUAUUGCAGGUUCCAUUAUUUCCCAAUGUCUUACCGAGGAGAUUUCUAGAGCUUCUGCACAUCACUUUGGAAAUCCAGAAGUGCCUGCUACCGUUUUGCAACCUGGAGAUAUUCGCUUUACAUAUCAUGAUCCAGAUGUGCCAAAUAUGUUUUACCAUGAAGGUCGAGUUAGUGGAAAAAUGGAGCAGAGGCAUCUAACCGAUGAUGACUAUAAUGUGUUACAAACGUUUUUGAUGCUCAAUUGUCCUGCAUUUGAGCCCUACGAAAGGUAUUUUCACUAUUUUUUAUAUGUUACAUUACAAUGUUUUUAUAAAAUCAUAUUAUAACCACUACGUAACAGGAUGUUUGAGGAGUUUAUGAUGGACAACAACCCAAAUAUAUGUGGUGAUGAUCUACAAAUAGCGAAAGACAACCACUAUGCGGAAUGGGUGAAAAACUAUGUAAGUACGUUUUGAUAUAAUUUGAUUUUGUUAUGUGAAUUUAUCAUUAACAUAAUUUUAAUUAAUAGGUUAACGAAGCGAGUAAGAUAUAUCAGUUUCCAUUGUGGAUGUUGGAUUUUGUACAAGGCCCGAAACAAAAUUAUAAAGCCUGGCCGAUAUAUUUUUCGCGAGGAUACUGCUUCCACACACAUAGCCAUGGCCAAGAUAAAAGAACCCAACAUUAUGGUGUCCAAGUCCGGGGUACGACAGACACUGACUAUUACGGCUUGAUUGAGGAGAUAAUGAUGGUUGAGUAUUCUGGUUCUGUUGGGCUUAAAGCCAUGGUUUUUAAAUGUAAGUGGUUUGAUACAAUUGUGGGUCGGGGGAUUCGAAAACAUAAAUCGGGAAUCGUUGAUGUGUCUCCGCGCUGGCAGUACGAGAAAUACGAUCCAUUUAUCUUAUCUGGUAAUUGUGAUCAAGUUUGUUUCAUUCCUUAUCCGCGGGUUCGAGGCACAUCAGCAAACGAUUGGUGGGCAUGUACGAAAGUUGUGCCUAGAGGGGUUCGAGAAACUUCUGAAGAUGCUCUUACUGCGCUACAAGAUGAUACACACGACCAAGUUGUUGCACCAAGUGAAAUGUUACGAUUUGAAACUUAUGUUGUGGAAGAUGAUUCAGAUUAUGAUUCUACGCCGGUUGUUCCGCCCAAUGACGAAUAUGUUUCUGAAGAUGAGAUAGAACCGGCAUGUACCGAUUCUGAUUCAGGGUCUGAUUCAAGUUCUUAGUAUUUGUAAAAUAUAUGAAUGUAUAAUAUAAGUUUUUAGUGUUUUGUAAGAUAUAUGAAUGUGCAAUAUAA
This is an RNA transcript of Brassica rapa (field mustard), 4899 nucleotides long. RefSeq lists it as uncharacterized. NCBI's taxonomy places the organism in Eukaryota, Viridiplantae, Streptophyta, Magnoliopsida, Brassicales, Brassicaceae. The record is from RefSeq and is a predicted model, not a curated record.